CCUUUGACGUUAGCGGCGGACGGGUGAGUAACACGUGGGUAACCUACCUAUAAGACUGGGAUAACUUCGGGAAACCGGAGCUAAUACCGGAUAAUAUUUCGAACCGCAUGGUUCGAUAGUGAAAGGUGGUUUUGCUAUCACUUAUAGAUGGACCCGCGCCGUAUUAGCUAGUUGGUAGGGUAACGGCUUACCAAGGCGACGAUACGUAGCCGACCUGAGAGGGUGAUCGGCCACACUGGAACUGAGACACGGUCCAGACUCCUACGGGAGGCAGCAGCC
Molecule: ribosomal RNA, 279 nt
Filed under: uncultured Staphylococcus sp.
Lineage: Bacteria; Bacillati; Bacillota; Bacilli; Caryophanales; Staphylococcaceae
Description: partial 16S ribosomal RNA
Rfam family: Bacterial small subunit ribosomal RNA
Source: RNAcentral